RNAcentral lists this ribosomal RNA (253 nucleotides) under uncultured bacterium. Its description in RNAcentral is "partial 16S ribosomal RNA". It matches the Rfam family "Bacterial small subunit ribosomal RNA", at positions 524 to 776 of the family's 1533-position model. The record is from RNAcentral.
UACGUAGGGGGCAAGCGUUGUCCGGAAUCAUUGGGCGUAAAGAGCGCGUAGGCGGCCCAGUAAGUCCGCUCUGAAAGUCCGGGGCUCAACCCCGGGAGGCGGGUGGAUACUGUCAGACUAGAGUGCGGAAGAGGCGAGUGGAAUUCCCGGUGUAGCGGUGAAAUGCGCAGAUAUCGGGAGGAACACCAAUUGCGAAGGCAGCUCGCUGGGACGUGACUGACGCUGAGACGCGAAAGCGUGGGGAGCAAACAGG